RNAcentral lists this ribosomal RNA (474 nucleotides) under uncultured bacterium. RNAcentral describes it as "bacterial SSU rRNA". It matches the Rfam family "Bacterial small subunit ribosomal RNA", at positions 28 to 502 of the family's 1533-position model. The record is from RNAcentral.
GAUGAACGCUAGCGGGAGGCCUAACACAUGCAAGUCGAACGGGAUUGAGAGCUUGCUCUCAUGAGAGUGGCGCACGGGUGAGUAACGCGUAUGCAACCUGCCUUUAACUGAGGGAUAGCCCAUAGAAAUGUGGAUUAAUACCUCAUAGUUCUGAGUUACCGCAUGGUGAUUCAGAUAAAGCUCCGGCGGUUAAAGAUGGGCAUGCGUGACAUUAGCUAGUUGGUGAGGUAACGGCUCACCAAGGCUACGAUGUCUAGGGGUUCUGAGAGGAUGAUCCCCCANACUGGUACUGAGACACGGACCAGACUCCUACGGGAGGCAGCAGUGAGGAAUAUUGGUCAAUGGGCGCAAGCCUGAACCAGCCAUCCCGCGUGCAGGAUGACGGCCCUAUGGGUUGUAAACUGCUUUUAUACACCAAGAAAAAUCUCCACGUGUGGGGACCCACGGUAGUGUAUGAAUAAGCAUCGGCUAACU